This is a long non-coding RNA of Felis catus (domestic cat), 636 nucleotides long. RefSeq lists it as uncharacterized. The transcript is spliced from 5 exons. NCBI's taxonomy places the organism in Eukaryota, Metazoa, Chordata, Mammalia, Carnivora, Felidae. The record is from RefSeq and is a predicted model, not a curated record.
AGUUUGAGCCAGUCACUCCCGCGGCGGCUACAGCGAGGCCACGCCUUUUAAAGGAGUCGACGGUUCCGCACCAGCUCUUGGCCUCUGGCCGCCCUUGGACGCCUAAGGCAUAUCAGGGAAGUUCCAGAGGAACAAACCCACUCCAGUCCUAUUGAGCCGAACUUCCUGAAAGAUCAUCUAGUCCAACUAGACUUCACCAGGCACAUGAAUCACCCAAGAAGCUUGUUAAACUGCAAAACCUGAUUCAGAAGAGCUGGCUGCGGCUCGAGGUUCUGCAUGUCUCAUGGACUCCCAGGUGGGAAAUCCUCCAAUGUACACAAGCCUAAAGGCCCACAAAACGUGGAUCUGCUGUGGCCUGAGGAGCGGCACUGACUCACCCUCUGGAGACCACACCAGAACUCCUGUCCCUCCUGCCCUCCCGUGGGUUGACUUUGCCUUCAGCCAACACCUCAGUUGGCAGGGGUUCUUUAUCUGAUGGAUGUCAAUGCUCAGGGAGGCCUUGGAGACCACUUGUUGAAGACGACAGAACUUCUUUCACUCUGAGUCUCUGGAUAACUGUGGACAGCAAAGUCCCCAGCUCUUUCCAUCUCCUUCAGUCAGACUCCACAUGAGCAAAAAAUAAACUAUUGUACUAAG